This 276-nucleotide ribosomal RNA is filed under the name Triticum aestivum (bread wheat). RNAcentral's name for it is "partial small subunit ribosomal RNA". The record is from RNAcentral. Lineage: Eukaryota; Viridiplantae; Streptophyta; Magnoliopsida; Poales; Poaceae.
GGCUGCAAUCGUCUCAUUAUCAAUUCAGAUAAUAUGGAAGUCAUUGACACAAUGAAGAACGGUGGAGAGUCUGCGGGAGCAGCGGCGGCAAUGAUUUUUUUUAUGGCCUGUGAUUUUCCACAAACCAGUUUUGAACAUUGUAAUAGAGAAGCGAACAAAGUAGCUCAUGAGCUUGCUAGAUUAGCAAAAUGUUCCACGACUAGGGAUUGGAUAGAGGAGCCCAUGGAAACUCUUGUAACUCUUCUGAUAGACGAUGUAACCAUUAUCUCUAAUUAA